This 270-nucleotide ribosomal RNA is filed under the name uncultured bacterium. Its description in RNAcentral is "partial 16S ribosomal RNA". It matches the Rfam family "Bacterial small subunit ribosomal RNA", at positions 29 to 284 of the family's 1533-position model. The record is from RNAcentral.
AACGAACGUUAGCGGCGCGCUUAACACAUGCAAGUCGCACGAGAAAGGGCUUCGGCCCCGGUACAGUGGCGCACGGGUGAGUAACACGUGGAUAAUCUUCCCUCGGGCGGGGGAUAACAUUCCGAAAGGAGUGCUAAUACCGCAUAAGACCACGACCCCGAAAGGGGAUGAGGUCAAAGCCGGCCUCUAUUCAUAAGCUGGCACCUGAGGAUGAGUCCGCGGCCCAUCAGCUAGUUGGCGGAGUAAUGGCCCACCAAGGCUAAGACGGGU